RNAcentral lists this ribosomal RNA (402 nucleotides) under uncultured bacterium. Its description in RNAcentral is "bacterial SSU rRNA". It matches the Rfam family "Bacterial small subunit ribosomal RNA", at positions 355 to 774 of the family's 1533-position model. The record is from RNAcentral.
UGGGGAAUCUUGGACAAUGGGCGCAAGCCUGAUCCAGCCAUGCCGCGUGAGUGAAGAAGGCCCUAGGGUUGUAAAGCUCUUUCGGCGGGGACGAUAAUGACGGUACCCGCAGAAGAAGCCCCGGCUAACUCCGUGCCAGCAGCCGCGGUAAUACGGAGGGGGCUAGCGUUGUUCGGAAUUACUGGGCGUAAAGCGCACGUAGGCGGGUCGUUAAGUCGGGGGUGAAAUCCUGGGGCUCAACCUCAGAACUGCCUUCGAUACUGGCGACCUUGAGUACGGGAGAGGUGAGUGGAAUUCCCAGUGUAGAGGUGAAAUUCGUAGAUAUUGGGAAGAACACCAGUGGCGAAGGCGGCUCACUGGCCCGUAACUGACGCUGAGGCGCGAAAGCGUGGGGAGCAAACA